ACAGCCAUAUAGCUUUUAAAUGCUGGUUCCUGUACGAUCACUGAAGUUAAGCAAAGUUGAACCUGAUCAGUUCCUUGAUGAGUGGCCACUUGGGAAUACCAGGUGCUAUA
Non-coding RNA from Acanthosepion pharaonis, 110 nucleotides. The record is from the annotation of a GenBank genome assembly. NCBI's taxonomy places the organism in Eukaryota, Metazoa, Mollusca, Cephalopoda, Sepiida, Sepiidae.